ACUCAAAGGAAUUGACGGGGGCCCGCACAAGCGGCGGAGCAUGCGGAUUAAUUCGAUGCAACGCGAAGAACCUUACCUGGGCUUGACAUGUUUCUGACGACGCCAGAGAUGGCGUUUCCCUUCGGGGCAGAUUCACAGGUGGUGCAUGGUUGUCGUCAGCUCGUGUUGUGAAAUGUUGGGUUAAGUCCCGCAACGAGCGCAACCCUCGUCUCGUGUUGCCAGCGGUUCGGCCGGGAACUCACGAGAGACCGCCGGAGUUAAUCCGGAGGAAGGUGGGGUCGAAGUCAAAUCAUCAUGCCCCUUACGUCCAGGGCUUCACGCAUGCUACAAUGGCCGGUACAAUGAGAUGCAAUAUCGCAAGAUGGAGCGGAUCUCAAAAACCGGUCUCAGUUCGGAUCGGAGCCUGCAACUCGGCUCCGUGAAGGUGGAGUCGCUAGUAAUCGCAGAUCAGCAACGCUGCGGUGAAUGCGUUCCCGGGCCUUGUACACACCGCCCGU
This 497-nucleotide ribosomal RNA is filed under the name uncultured bacterium. RNAcentral's name for it is "bacterial SSU rRNA". It matches the Rfam family "Bacterial small subunit ribosomal RNA", at positions 899 to 1397 of the family's 1533-position model. The record is from RNAcentral.